RNAcentral lists this ribosomal RNA (554 nucleotides) under uncultured bacterium. RNAcentral describes it as "bacterial SSU rRNA". It matches the Rfam family "Bacterial small subunit ribosomal RNA", at positions 337 to 903 of the family's 1533-position model. The record is from RNAcentral.
UCCUACGGGAGGCAGCAGUAGGGAAUUUUCCGCAAUGGGCGAAAGCCUGACGGAGCAAUACCGCGUGAGGGAAGACUGCCUAUGGGUUGUAAACCUCUUUUUUCAGGGAGGAAUAAAAUGACGUGUACCUGAAGAAUAAGCAUCGGCUAACUCCGUGCCAGCAGCCGCGGUAAGACGGAGGAUGCAAGUGUUAUCCGGAAUCACUGGGCGUAAAGCGUCUGUAGGUGGUUUAAUAAGUCAACUGUUAAAUCUUGAGGCUCAACUUCAAAAUCGCAGUCGAAACUAUUAGACUAGAGUAUAGUAGAGGUAAAGGGAAUUUCCAGUGGAGCGGUGAAAUGCGUAGAUAUUGGAAAGAACACCGAUGGCGAAAGCACUUUACUGGGCUAUUACUAACACUCAGAGACGAAAGCUAGGGUAGCAAAUGGGAUUAGAUACCCCAGUAGUCCUAGCCGUAAACUAUGGAUACUAGAUGUUGAACAGAUCGACCUGUGCAGUAUCAAAGCUAACGCGUUAAGUAUCCCGCCUGGGAAGUAUGCUCGCAAGAGUGAAACUCA